AGAGACAGCAGUAGCCACGGUAAUACGAAGGGGGCUAGCGUUGCUCGGAAUCACUGGGCGUAAAGGGUGCGUAGGCGGGUCUUUAAGUCAGGGGUGAAAUCCUGGAGCUCAACUCCAGAACUGCCUUUGAUACUGAAGAUCUUGAGUUCGGGAGAGGUGAGUGGAACUGCGAGUGUAGAGGUGAAAUUCGUAGAUAUUCGCAAGAACACCAGUGGCGAAGGCGGCUCACUGGCCCGAUACUGACGCUGAGGCACGAAAGCGUGGGGAGCAAACAGGAUUAGAUACCCCGGUAGUCCCUGUCUCUUAUAC
RNAcentral lists this ribosomal RNA (309 nucleotides) under uncultured bacterium. RNAcentral's name for it is "partial 16S ribosomal RNA". It matches the Rfam family "Bacterial small subunit ribosomal RNA", at positions 504 to 807 of the family's 1533-position model. The record is from RNAcentral.